Long non-coding RNA from Amphimedon queenslandica, 571 nucleotides. RefSeq lists it as uncharacterized. The record is from RefSeq and is a predicted model, not a curated record. Lineage: Eukaryota; Metazoa; Porifera; Demospongiae; Haplosclerida; Niphatidae. The transcript is spliced from 2 exons.
AAUUUAGCGAGUUUUUCCAAACCAUAAAAAUCGCAAAAUUCAAUCCUCACGAAAAAUAUGGUGCAUACGGUAUUACUUUAAUUGUGUAUGUUAAUAGUUAUUGAUGUUGAGGCCCAGCCUUCUUGGAGAGCAUGUACAGCUACAAACUAUUGAAUAUCAUUCAUGAUUUUAUGCUACCUUGAGCUAUAGUUAUUUAUUACAUUAACAAUCUCUUUGUUCUAGAUAUCCCCACUACUGAAUGAUGAUGGUGCCAAACAUUUGUUUAUUUCCAUACUCGAGUUAAAAUUCCAAUACUUUCAAAGUAGGGAACAUUUUAGUGUUGAAGUCAAUCUUUUGGGGCAAAUGCUGUAAUGCAUUAGUCAGGUAACUGCUCUUGUUGGCCUGAAUGUUACAUUUGUCUCAGCGUUCAGUGGAACUACCAAUACCAUUGAAUGUAUUUCAUGUAGAUGCAACCAACACACUCUCAUAUUACUUUCAAGACCAAAAUUUUGAUAUUUACAUUUGAAUUAUAACAUGCAAUUCUACCUAAUUUUUGAUUUCAGUAUGUAAAAAUUUUAUCUGAAUACAUUUA